Molecule: ribosomal RNA, 406 nt
Filed under: uncultured bacterium
Lineage: Bacteria
Description: partial 16S ribosomal RNA
Rfam family: Bacterial small subunit ribosomal RNA
Source: RNAcentral
AUUGAACGCUGGCGGCAGGCCUAACACAUGCAAGUCGAGCGAGCGGCGGACGGGUGAGUAAUGUAUCUGGGUCUUCCUCAUGGCGGGGGAUAACUAAUGGAAACGCUAGCUCAUACCCCAUACCAUCAUAUGAACCCCUAUGGGAUUAUCUCGUAGGUGAGGUAACGGCUUACCAAGGCGACGAUCCCUAGCUGGUCUGAGAGGAGGAUCAGCCACACGGGGACUGAGACACGGACCAGACUCCUACGGGAGGCAGCAGUGGGGAAUAUUGCACAAUGGGCGAAAGCCUGAUGCAGCCAUGCCGCGUGUAUGAAGAAGGCCUUCGGGUUGUAAGGUACUUUCAGUCGGGAGGCGUUACUGGCAGAAGAAGCACCGGCUAACUCCGUGCCAGCAGCCGCGGUAAUAC